This 264-nucleotide long non-coding RNA is filed under the name Zonotrichia albicollis (white-throated sparrow). RNAcentral describes it as "lncRNA (ENSZALG00000004252.1)". The record is from RNAcentral. Lineage: Eukaryota; Metazoa; Chordata; Aves; Passeriformes; Passerellidae.
CUGCCAUCCUGUGCUACAGACACCCAGCUGGAGAUGUCCAUGUGGGCUGUACUGCCCUUUGUCCAGGGGAGCAGGGUAACAUUAAUUAAACGUUUUGUUGUUGUCCUUGGAGAACCUGUUGCAGAACAAGUGUUUAUGUCUUUCUUUGGGCAUGUUGUGCAGGUGAGAGCAGAUGGAGAUGGAGUUUUGACAGCCACACACUCAGAGGAGCCUCAGGCUUCACCAAAACCAGCCUGUCCCCCCUCCAGGAGAAGUUUGAGUUAG